AGAAGCUGAGAGAGCCACAGGCAGGGUCCUCGCCAGCCGUGGCCGAGGGGCCUGAUCUGUGGUUUUAACAGCCAGCGUCAAGGCGAUUGGGCAGGCGAUGCUUGAUGGGGUUGGCCCCUCACUAGGGACACACAGAGAAGUCCCACGAAGCGACAAGUCACCUUCAACAACCCCCGCCCAGCUGGGACCUGGGGAGACCAUCAAGUCACCUUCAACAACCCCCGCCCAGCUGGGACCUGGGGAGACCGUGGGACUCACCCCUGUUCCUGAAAGGAGAGUAGCUGUGGCUCCAGUUCCUUCUCCGCCCUUAGAGUCUCCCCAGGUCCAAGGAGAGUAAGUGGCCAAAGGAGCUAGGGAAUCCCAGAGGAUCUUGCUAGAACAGGACAAACCUGCUGGACCCCUCUCCCAAGCUCUGUGGCCUCCCUCCAAGCCUAGAAGUUCUGACCUAGACCUACCUCAAAAAUCCAGGAAGUCCUCCUGGCCCCUGUGGAGUGCUGGGCUGCCCCAGGGGGACGUCAGUAUCUGCUGCUUCCUCCAGGGAGCCGAGAGGGGCUCCCCAAGGCCAGGGCCCAGUGGAAGCCCAUCCUGCUGCCUGGGCAGCUGAGCCUGGGCACCAGGACCAGGCCUCAGACAAAUGGGAAAUGCAUGGGCCACUGUUGCUACCAGCUGACCCUGGCAUGCAUCCCGAGCCUUACAGGACAAACAGUCAUUCAGGCAGCAGCUGAGCAGCUUGUGUUGGCCACCAACCCUAAAAUGUGUCGAAGCAUGCUAGUUGUUUGUGAAAGAUGCCAGGUCCAUUCCAGGUGUCCCCACCCACCUUCGCCUGGCGAGCUGUGUGCAGUGCUGCCUCCUCCUUGGGCUGUGGGAACCCCCCUGCCUUGUUGACACCAGGAAAUGCUCUUGUUCGCAGCGCCCUGUAAGCUGCCCGUGGUGCAAUCCCUGACCAGGCUGCUUCUUUCUUCAGUCUCACAGAAUCUUGAGCUGGUUCUCAUACACAGGACUGGGCCGUUCCAAACCAGAUGGACAUGUAAUUUACACUAGAGGACCGUGUACACUGUGAGCCAGAGAAAAUGUGCACCAGGCUGAGCACAGGGAGGGUUUAGGAAAGCAUCUUUCCCAGGACUCUUCUUGACAGGUCUCGUACCCCUAGGGUGGAAAGACUCAUCUCUACUCCUGACUGCUGUGUGACCAUGAGUAACUCACCUGACCUAUCUGGACUUCAUUUCUUCAUCCGCCCUCCUGAGUUGGAAAUCUUUGUCCUACCCUCCUUAUGGGG
RNAcentral lists this long non-coding RNA (1276 nucleotides) under Marmota monax (woodchuck). Lineage: Eukaryota; Metazoa; Chordata; Mammalia; Rodentia; Sciuridae. The record is from RNAcentral.